This 169-nucleotide non-coding RNA is filed under the name Tessaracoccus bendigoensis. RNAcentral's name for it is "FMN sequence". It matches the Rfam family "FMN riboswitch aptamer (RFN element)". Rfam says of the family: The RFN element is a highly conserved domain that is found frequently in the 5'-untranslated regions of prokaryotic mRNAs that encode for flavin mononucleotide (FMN) biosynthesis and transport proteins. This element is a metabolite-dependent riboswitch that directly binds FMN in the absence of proteins. Lineage: Bacteria; Bacillati; Actinomycetota; Actinomycetes; Propionibacteriales; Propionibacteriaceae. RNAcentral also lists the same sequence under 1 other name. The record is from RNAcentral.
AACGUGUUCCGGGGUCGGUGUAAUUCCGAACCGGCGGUGACAGUCCGCGACCCCCGAGGCCCAGCAGGGCCAAAGGGCUGACCCGGUGAAAUUCCGAGACCGACAGUCAGGGAGCUACUGAUCGAUAUCGAUCAGUGGUUCCUCAGAGUCUGGAUGGGAGGAGCACGCG